This 238-nucleotide ribosomal RNA is filed under the name uncultured bacterium. RNAcentral's name for it is "partial 16S ribosomal RNA". It matches the Rfam family "Bacterial small subunit ribosomal RNA", at positions 15 to 228 of the family's 1533-position model. The record is from RNAcentral.
GAUCAUGGCUCAGGACGAACGCUGGCGGCGUGCCUAACACAUGCAAGUCGAACGAAGCUCUGCGAUACAAGACUUCGGUCAAGUUGAACGGAUGACUUAGUGGCGGACGGGUGAGUAACGCGUGAGGAACCUGCCUUUCAGUGGGGGACAACAGUUGGAAACGACUGCUAAUACCGCAUAAUGUAUUCUGACCGCAUGAUACGGAACUAACCAAAGUAUUUAUUGCUAGAAAGAUCGG